AUGGAGUUUUAUACACAAUUAUCGCAAGAGAAGAUCAAGAUUACAAACGAGACAACAAAGGGAAGAUUCGAAGAAAAUAAUGAUCCAAGGAAUCCAACAACGAAGCAGACUUUUAGCAAAACAAACUUCUCUUUGUUUAGUUUUAAUGAGCAUCUUCAACGCGGACAACUUGUGAGUAUUGGACUUGAGUCCAAGCAAUUUCAACUGCAAGGACAAAAUUUUAGAAGUGUCUACUGA
Molecule: non-coding RNA, 237 nt
Organism: Vicia faba (fava bean)
Lineage: Eukaryota; Viridiplantae; Streptophyta; Magnoliopsida; Fabales; Fabaceae
Source: the annotation of a GenBank genome assembly